Molecule: ribosomal RNA, 253 nt
Filed under: uncultured bacterium
Lineage: Bacteria
Description: partial 16S ribosomal RNA
Rfam family: Bacterial small subunit ribosomal RNA
Source: RNAcentral
UACGUAGGGUGCAAGCGUUGCCCGGAUUUAUUGGGCGUAAAGGGCGCGUAGGCGGCUCGGCACGUCCGUUGUGAAAUCGCCCGGCUCAACUGGGCGGGGUCAGCGGAUACGGCCGAGCUUGAGCAAGCUAGGGGGCAAUGGAAUUCCCGGUGUAGUGGUGGAAUGCGUAGAUAUCGGGAGGAACACCAGUGGCGAAGGCGGUUGCCUGGAGCUUUGCUGACGCUGAUGCGCGAAAGCGUGGGGAGCGAUCCGG